GGCGAGAUAGAAUAAUGGUAGUUCGUGGGGCUCAUGCCCCCAAGGCGGAGGUUCAACCCCUCCUAUCGCUU
Molecule: transfer RNA, 71 nt
Filed under: Paulinella micropora
Lineage: Eukaryota; Cercozoa; Imbricatea; Euglyphida; Paulinellidae
Rfam family: tRNA
About the family: Transfer RNA (tRNA) molecules are approximately 80 nucleotides in length. Their secondary structure includes four short double-helical elements and three loops (D, anti-codon, and T loops).
Source: Rfam by way of RNAcentral